This is a long non-coding RNA of Triplophysa rosa, 719 nucleotides long. RefSeq lists it as uncharacterized. The record is from RefSeq and is a predicted model, not a curated record. NCBI's taxonomy places the organism in Eukaryota, Metazoa, Chordata, Actinopteri, Cypriniformes, Nemacheilidae. The transcript has 2 exons.
CUGCGAUGAAACUGGCCCAGCGCCAGCUCCAUGUAGAAGAGAGGCACGCCACCGAACACGGCCAUCAACAGCAGAUGUAUGGAAAGCGCCACACGUUCCCCAGGUCCACCGCUUACCCAACGACUGACAGCAGGAAGUCCAUCUUUUUGCUCCAGGUCUCCCUAGGUGGAUCCAGACUGGUCUGCUGGACCACCAGAGUCCUGAACGUUCCAGCCGCGAUCCCUCUGUCCAUCCCGGCACCUGCACCUUCCCUCGGGCUUUGUGGGGAUGUGCUCGGGUAACCGUUGGAGACUUGCCCAGACCCUGAGACUGACUUCUGUUCCUUCUCUGGAACACUGUCCGCAACCAGUCGGCCGUUCUCUUGUGACUCCUGUUCUUUCUCCUGCUCCUCAUGGUCUCGAUUCAUCAUCACUGGUUGUUUCAUCUCCAUGCUGAGGACUACUGUUAGGGUUGAGACGGUGGUCCUAUUACACUGGCUGAUAUCACGCCCAUGAGGGGAUUGAGAGCUUUGAGAAGAAGGGUCCGGUGUGGAACAGAGUGGGCUGGAGAAAUCAAUGAGGGUUCAACCGGUUCUUAACCGGUAGGUUUUAACAAGCAGAAAACUGACAAGAAUCUGCUCAGGCCCAGCUGCAAAAUAAAAGGACAAGGAUUUUACAUGAUGCUGGGGGGAGUUUCAUAUGGAUUUAACACUAUUCAUUCAUUCGUCUAAAGAAAUGACA